Molecule: ribosomal RNA, 199 nt
Filed under: uncultured bacterium
Lineage: Bacteria
Description: partial 16S ribosomal RNA
Rfam family: Bacterial small subunit ribosomal RNA
Source: RNAcentral
ACGCUCGACACCUACGGGAAGCAGCAGUCGGGAAUAUUGCGCAAUGGAGGAAACUCUGACGCAGUGACGCCGCGUAUAGGAAGAAGGUUUUCGGAUUGUAAACUAUUGUCGUUAGGGAAGAGAAAGGACAGUACCUAAGGAGGAAGCUCCGGCUAACUACGUGUCAGCAGCCGCGGUAAUCUGAGCGGGCUGGCAAGGC